Pogonomyrmex barbatus (red harvester ant) is the source of this 1472-nucleotide long non-coding RNA. The record is from RefSeq and is a predicted model, not a curated record. Lineage: Eukaryota; Metazoa; Arthropoda; Insecta; Hymenoptera; Formicidae.
AGAUAAGCGUGACUAGGCAAGUGACGAAACGAUCAUCUCCCGCUUGCCAUCGGGAGGAUCAAUGAUAACGCGCGCGAAUCCGCCGACAGAUUUCGAAUCGGUAAGAUCGCGGUCCAAGUGCCGAAGUCUUUGGUAAGUAUGAAAAGAAUUCGCGAGCCGCGAUAACGACACGGUUUAUCAGUCAUGGUUACUACAUGCAACAAUCCGCUGUGUACAAAGUCGCGUGGAGAUAACAACGUUUCGGAAAUCAUCUAUUCCUCAAACGUGGUAAACAUUAACUAAGCAACUUUGCUCUCUUCAACAUCAUUCUUUCGUUAUACGUCACAUUGCCUCCAUUUUUUUCAAAUCGAUAGAGAUUAGGAUGUUUGAUUAAUCCAGUAUUGAUUUGGCCAGGAAUUCAGAAAAAGAAAAUCGGCGUGAAAAGCGAUUGCCAUAAUUCGGUUAUCACCGAAGAUUUCGCAGAACGAAAAAUCAGGGAAAUCGGAGAACGAGGAAUUAAACGGCUGGUACCGUCGUCCACGUUCCUCAUCCGUACUCGCGUACUCCGUCAUGUAGUCUUCGUCCAAAGUAUGCCACACACGUCGAUACGGUCAGCCAGUAUCUUUGCAAAAGGUCAUCGUCUGCUAUUGCGGACAUUGAAUGGAGGCAUUUGUAUAUGUAUAACAAAGAAGCGAUCUUAAUUCCCACAACGAGUAUUUGCGAGGGCGUUCGCGGCGCCGUUACGCACCGCGCGUUUGAACCGACGGUUGAACUCUCGUCGGGAUGUCACGUUUUAUCACUGAAUCUCACAGUUGGUUGACAAGCUUCGAUCAUUGACGCUUCGCGAUACAACGAUCUGUUCAGCAUCACCUGCGGGCUUGUAUCUUGACCGAUGGUGUCUGUCAUAUAAAUCCUGAGUAAAGGAUAAGACAAUAAAUCCUCUCAAAAUGUCUCGAUUUUACGGUGGAUUCGCUUCGGCGAGUUUUGCAAUCCGUACACUCGACUUUGACUUUAUGUCACUUGUGAUUCCCCGGCAUAAUAAACACGCCCGGCCAUCAUCUUUUACGAGCGAUGCAGAGGACGAACUACUGGUCUUCCUUGAUUGUCUUGUCGCGCGAAUCUCACACGGGGCUGAAAAACGAACGAUGGUCCUUGAGGAUCGUACCUCUCUUUAGGAACAUCAAGUAUCUACGCGAGACACACAGCGGGAGAAGGGACGGGGUGUAAGAAUGAAAUCUUAAUCGUGCCUGACCUCUUCGCGCGAGUUAUCGUCGAGUGGCUGUGUGUGUUUACCGUCGUCGGAAUAAUUAAAUAACGAGUCGCAGUGAGCCAACACUAAGUGUAUAAUCGAACGAUAACGUCUGGCGCGUCGCCACUUUUUCAGGGCCCUCAUUGGCCCGUUGCUCCGGUUACGUAUUACUACGCGAAUGAUAAACGGCGUUGUAAUAGAGGAAAAUAUACGAAAUACUACUGGCUUUCUCGAUAGAAGGAAA